CCUACGGGAGGCAGCAGUGAGGAAUUUUCCGCAAUGGGCGAAAGCCUGACGGAGCAAUGCCGCGUGGAGGAGGAAGGCCUGUGGGUCGUAAACUCCUUUUCUCAGAGAAGAAGUUCUGACGGUAUCUGAGGAAUAAGCAUCGGCUAACUCUGUGCCAGCAGCCGCGGUAAUACAGGGGAUGCAAGCGUUAUCCGGAAUUAUUGGGCGUAAAGCGUCCUGAGGUGGCUUACCCAGUCGACUGUGAAAACUCAAGGCUUAACCUUGAAACGGCAGUCGAAACUUGUAAGCUUGAGUACGGUAGGGGCAGAGGGAAUUCCCGGAGGAGAGGUGAAAUUCGUAGAUAUCGGGAGGAAGGCCAAAGGCGAAAGCACUCUGCUGGGCCGAUUACUGACACUGACAGACGAAAGCUAGGGGAGCGAAAGGGAUUAGAUACCCCUGUAGUCCUAGCCGUAAACGAUGGAUACUAAGUGUUGCGCGACUCAAAACGUGCAGUGCUGCAGCUAACGCGGUAAGUAUCCCGCCUGGGGAGUAUGCCCGCAAGGGGUGAAACUCAAAAGUAGUAGUACGGCGUGAGACGUACGCGAACCGAGACCACGACGGAGGUAGG
RNAcentral lists this ribosomal RNA (607 nucleotides) under uncultured bacterium. Its description in RNAcentral is "bacterial SSU rRNA". It matches the Rfam family "Bacterial small subunit ribosomal RNA", at positions 338 to 1415 of the family's 1533-position model. The record is from RNAcentral.